UGAUUUGGUCUAUGAUGGCCACCGAAGAAGUGUCGGGGAUGAAGGACUCCGCUGACUUGAGAUCUACCCACCUGUGGUCCCGACGGUUCAGGAAAGACACCCUCAAAGCUAAGAGGAACAUCGACCAUGGACUCGUUGCUUGGGCUUUGAAGAAAAGAUCCAAUAAUAAUAUUGCGAAGGCUAGCAGCAUUAUAUUCCGGCCUGCACCAGAUUACCUAUCACUCAGGUCAUAAAACUCUUAUGCGGGACCCCACGGGAGGAGCCGUCGGCGACCACGCGUGGCAUUUUGUAGGUUGCCAGGUGUAUGAUCCAGAUGUCCAGGAUUGGGUCCCUUGUUAGCAUCCGCUGGCGGGACCUUUUUCUCCAGCCUGAGAGAAGAUUCCCCCUCCCUGGUCCACCUGCCUGCUGCUUCUUCCAGAGCUAUCCUGGUGGGGUCACCCCUGGGCCCCAUGCUUCCUUCGGUUGAAACCUCUCCUCUCCCUCACCGUGGGAGACCCUAAUUGAGAUCACACACAUUUGGUUCACAAAUAAACUC
Non-coding RNA from Pogona vitticeps (central bearded dragon), 535 nucleotides. The record is from RefSeq and is a predicted model, not a curated record. NCBI's taxonomy places the organism in Eukaryota, Metazoa, Chordata, Lepidosauria, Squamata, Agamidae.